This 321-nucleotide ribosomal RNA is filed under the name uncultured Prevotella sp. RNAcentral's name for it is "partial 16S ribosomal RNA". The record is from RNAcentral. Lineage: Bacteria; Pseudomonadati; Bacteroidota; Bacteroidia; Bacteroidales; Prevotellaceae.
GGAGUUUGGACCGUGUCUCAGUUCCAAUGUGGGGGACCUUCCUCUCAGAACCCCUACCGAUCGCUGCCUUGGUGGGCCGUUACCCCGCCAACUAGCUAAUCGGACGCAUGCCCAUCUGUAACCGAAAAAAUCUUUGGUCCGGGUCAGAUGCCCUCGCUGGACCACAUCGGGCAUUAAUCCGGUUUUCACCGGGCUAUUCCCAAGUUAAGGGAAGGUUGGAUACGCGUUACUCACCCGUGCGCCGGUCGCCAUCAUCGGUUGCAAGCAACCAACAUGCUGCCCCUCGACUUGCAUGUGUUAAGCCUGUAGCUAGCGUUCAUC